This 253-nucleotide ribosomal RNA is filed under the name uncultured bacterium. RNAcentral describes it as "partial 16S ribosomal RNA". It matches the Rfam family "Bacterial small subunit ribosomal RNA", at positions 524 to 776 of the family's 1533-position model. The record is from RNAcentral.
UCCGUAGGGGGCAAGCGUUGUCCGGAUUUAUUGGGCGUAAAGGGCGCGUAGGCGGCUUGGCAAGUGGCUGGUGAAAUCCCUCGGCUUAACCGAGGAACUGCCGUCCAAACUGCUUCGCUUGAGACCGGGAGAGGUGAGUGGAAUUCCCAGUGUAGCGGUGAAAUGCGUAGAUAUUGGGAGGAACACCAGUGGCGAAGGCGGCUCACUGGACCGGUACUGACGCUGAUGCGCGAAAGCGUGGGGAGCAAACGGG